Molecule: ribosomal RNA, 978 nt
Filed under: uncultured Crocosphaera sp.
Lineage: Bacteria; Bacillati; Cyanobacteriota; Cyanophyceae; Chroococcales; Aphanothecaceae
Description: bacterial SSU rRNA
Rfam family: Bacterial small subunit ribosomal RNA
Source: RNAcentral
GUAUGCCUAACACAUGCAAGUCGAACGAUGUCUUCGGACAUAGUGGCGGACGGGUGAGUAACGCGUGAGAAUCUGCCUUGAGGAUGGGGACAACAGUUGGAAACGACUGCUAAUACCCGAUGUGCCGGAAGGUGAAAAUUUUUUGCCUCAAGAGGAGCUCGCGUCUGAUUAGCUAGUUGGUGGGGUAAAAGCGUACCAAGGCAACGAUCAGUAGCUGGUCUGAGAGGAUGAGCAGCCACACUGGGACUGAGACACGGCCCAGACUCCUACGGGAGGCAGCAGUGGGGAAUUUUCCGCAAUGGGCGAAAGCCUGACGGAGCAAUACCGCGUGAGGGAGGAAGGCCUUUGGGUUGUAAACCUCUUUUCUCAGGGAAGAAGAUCUGACGGUACCUGAGGAAUAAGCAUCGGCUAACUCCGUGCCAGCAGCCGCGGUAAUACGGAGGAUGCAAGCGUUAUCCGGAAUUAUUGGGCGUAAAGCGUCCGCAGGUGGUCUUUCAAGUCUGCUGUCAAAGACCAGAGCUUAACUCUGGGCAGGCGGUGGAAACUGAGAGACUAGAGUUCGGUAGGGGUAGCGGGAAUUCCCAGUGUAGCGGUGAAAUGCGUAGAUAUUGGGAAGAACAUCGGUGGCGAAGGCGCGCUACUGGACCGAAACUGACACUCAGGGACGAAAGCUAGGGUAGCGAAAGGGAUUAGAUACCCCUGUAGUCCUAGCUGUAAACGAUGGAAACUAGGUGUGGCUUGUAUCGACCCGAGCCGUGCCGUAGCCAACGCGUUAAGUUUCCCGCCUGGGGAGUACGCACGCAAGUGUGAAACUCAAAGGAAUUGACGGGGGCCCGCACAAGCGGUGGAGUAUGUGGUUUAAUUCGAUGCAACGCGAAGAACCUUACCAGGGCUUGACAUGUCCGGAACUUUUCUGAAAGGAGAAGGUGCCUUCGGGAAGCGGAACACAGCUGGUGCAUGGCUGUCGUCAGCUCGUGU